RNAcentral lists this ribosomal RNA (253 nucleotides) under uncultured bacterium. RNAcentral describes it as "partial 16S ribosomal RNA". It matches the Rfam family "Bacterial small subunit ribosomal RNA", at positions 524 to 776 of the family's 1533-position model. The record is from RNAcentral.
UACAGAGGUCUCAAGCGUUGUUCGGAUUCAUUGGGCGUAAAGGGUGCGCAGGUGGCUGGGUAAGUUUGAUGUGAAAGCCCCGGGCUUAACCCGGGAAUGGCAUUGAAUACUAUUCGGCUGGAGGAUUGGAGGGGGGACUGGAAUUCUUGGUGUAGCAGUGAAAUGCGUAGAUAUCAAGAGGAACACCAGUGGCGAAGGCGAGUUCCUGGACAAUUCCUGACACUGAGGCACGAAAGCCAAGGGAGCAAACAGG